GGUUGAUCCUGCCAGUAGUCAUAUGCUUGUCUCAAAGAUUAAGCCAUGCAUGUCUAAGUACAGGCUUUGGUACAGCGAAACCGCGAAUGGCUCAUUAAAUCAGCUAUAAUUUAUUAGAUUGUUCCUUACUUGGAUAACUGUGGGAAUUCUAGAGCUAAUACAUGCACAAAAGCUCCGACCUUCGGGAAGGAGUGCAGUUAUCAGACCAAAACCAGCCGAGCUUCGGCUCGAACUGUUUGGUGACUCUGGAUAACGAUGAGCGGAUCGCAUGGCCUUGAGCCGGCGACGUAUCUUUCAAGUGUCUGACCUAUCAACUGACGAUGGUACGCGAUAUGCCUACCAUGGUGAUAACGGGUAACGGAGAAUAAGGGUUCGACUCCGGAGAGGGAGCCUGAGAAAUGGCUACCACAUCCAAGGAUGGCAGCAGGCGCGCAAAUUACCCACUCUCAGUACGAGGAGGUAGUGACGAAAAAUAACAAUGCGGGACUCAUCAGAGGCCUCGCAAUUGGAAUGAGCGCACUUUAAAUCGUUCGACGAGGAUCUAUUGGAGGGCAAGUCUGGUGCCAGCAGCCGCGGUAAUUCCAGCUCCAAUAGCGUAUAUUAAAGUUGUUGCAGUUAAAAAGCUCGUAGUUGGAUCUGGGGUUCGGGUCGGCGGUUUGCCGCUUCGGCGGCUACUGCCGUGCUCGACUCUUACUAGCCGGUGCGUCUUGCGGUGCUCUUCAUCGAGUGCCGUAGGAGCCUGGCAUGUUUACUUUGAAAAAAUUAGAGUGCUCAAAGCAGGCGAUUCCGCCUGAAUAGUGUUGCAUGGAAUAAUGGAAUAGGACCUCGGUUCUAUUUUGUUGGUUUUCGGAACUUGAGGUAAUGAUUAAGAGGGACGGUCGGGGGCAUUCGUAUUUCGGUGUUAGAGGUGAAAUUCUUGGAUCGCUGAAAGACGGACAAAUGCGAAAGCAUCUGCCAAGAACGUCUCCAUUAAUCAAGAACGAAAGUCAGAGGUUCGAAGACGAUCAGACACCGUCCUAGUUCUGACCAUAAACGAUGCCAACUAGCGAUCCGCAGUGGUUGCUAUAAACGGACUCUGCGAGCAGCUUCCGGGAAACCAAAGUGUUUGGGUUCCGGGGGAAGUAUGGUUGCAAAGCUGAAACUUAAAGGAAUUGACGGAAGGGCACCACCAGGAGUGGAGCCUGCGGCUUAAUUUGACCCAACACGGGGAAACUCACCCGGUCCGGACACUGUAAGGGUUGACAGAUCGAGAGCUCUUUCUUGAUUCGGUGGAUGGUGGUGCAUGGCCGUUCUUAGUUGGUGGAGUGAUUUGUCUGGUUAAUUCCGAUAACGAACGAGACUCUAGCCUGCUAACUAGUUGCGCCGUGUUCAUAC
Molecule: ribosomal RNA, 1374 nt
Filed under: metagenome
Description: SSU rRNA
Rfam family: Eukaryotic small subunit ribosomal RNA
Source: RNAcentral